RNAcentral lists this transfer RNA (75 nucleotides) under Parasutterella muris. RNAcentral's name for it is "Parasutterella sp. NM82_D38 tRNA-Thr". It matches the Rfam family "tRNA". From Rfam's summary of the family: Transfer RNA (tRNA) molecules are approximately 80 nucleotides in length. Their secondary structure includes four short double-helical elements and three loops (D, anti-codon, and T loops). The record is from RNAcentral. RNAcentral also lists the same sequence under 1 other name. Lineage: Bacteria; Pseudomonadati; Pseudomonadota; Betaproteobacteria; Burkholderiales; Sutterellaceae.
GCCCGCUUAGCUCAGUGGUAGAGCAACCGCCUUGUAAGCGGUAGGUCGUCUGUUCAAGUCAGUCAGCGGGCACCA